CUUGGUCAUUUAGAGGAAGUAAAAGUCGUAACAAGGUUUCCGUAGGUGAACCUGCGGAAGGAUCAUUAUUGAAAAACUAUGUUAGUUUUUUAUAUCCCAUUGUUUUAUCUACCCUGUUGCUUCUACUGGACUGUUUUGCUUGGAGGUAAGAUUUAUAAACCUCUAGGCAAAACCUCAGGCUUGUGUGAACCACACUUUCCAGAGAGCUGCCAGUAGUAAGACCACUUGCUAAAACCUGUUGUGAAGUAUAUAGUCUGAAUUUUGUGUCUUGAAAAUGAAAUAAAACUUUCAACAACGGAUCUCUAGGCUCUUGCAUCGAUGAAGAACGCAGUGAAAUGCGAUAAGUAAUGUGAAUUGCAGAAUCUCGUGAAUCAUUGAAUCUUUGAACGCACAUUGCGCCCUAUGGUAUUCCAUAGGGCAUACCUGUUUGAGCGUUAGCUCCCCAUAUCCUCAAGCAUUAUUUUGUAAUGCUUGGAUUUGUUUGGAGAGGCACCUCUAUCAUAGAGGUACCCUUCAGAAAUGUAUAUGGCAGUAUAGUUUAUAUCUGAACCAGGCGUAAUAAUAAUAAAGUCGCUGAGUUUACCAUAUUUAUACUUGCCUGAACCCACCCAUUGUUAAAUCGGGUAACCUCAAAUCAGGUAGGGAUACCCGCUGAACUUAAGCAUAUCAAUAAGCGGAGGA
RNAcentral lists this ribosomal RNA (681 nucleotides) under uncultured fungus. RNAcentral's name for it is "eukaryotic LSU rRNA". The stretch from base 284 to 437 matches the Rfam family "5.8S ribosomal RNA". The record is from RNAcentral. Lineage: Eukaryota; Fungi.